GACGAACGCUGGCGGCGUGCCUAACACAUGCAAGUCGAACGGAAAGGUCCUGUCUAGGUGCGCACCUCGACUUGCGACGGGGGAAGCAACCCGUGAGUACCGAGUCCCUGCCCUUGGGAUAUCCUCAUACAGGUUGGGCUCAUACCGCCAAGGAGUUCUCGCUGCAUGGUGGGCGCGGGUUAGUUUCGGUGGUUGGGGGUGGACUCGCGGCCCAUCGGCUCGUUGGUUGGGUAGUGUCUUAGCAUGGCCUUGCCGGGUAGCCGGCCUGGGAGGGUGACCGGCCACAUUAGGACUGAGCUGCGGCCCAGACUCCUACGGGAGGCAGCAGUGCGGAAUAGUGCACUGUGGGCGGAAGCAUGAUGCAGCAACGCCGCGUGGGGGAUGACGGCCUUCGGUUUGUAAACCGCUUUCGCCUGUGACGAAGCGUGAGUGACGGUAAUGGGUAAAGAAGCACCGGCUAACUACGUG
RNAcentral lists this ribosomal RNA (468 nucleotides) under uncultured bacterium. RNAcentral's name for it is "partial 16S ribosomal RNA". It matches the Rfam family "Bacterial small subunit ribosomal RNA", at positions 28 to 507 of the family's 1533-position model. The record is from RNAcentral.